GAAGUUCGCCAGGCAAUCGCGGUAUCGCUUGUCGGUAUCGAGGAAAGUCCGGGCCCCAUAGAGCAGGAUGCUGGCUAACGGCCAGGCGUUAUAAGCGAUGGCAACAUCGCCCAAGGCGACAGAAAGUGCAACAGAAAGAUACCGCCGAUGGCUUCGCCCGGCUUUGACGCCGUAAGGCGGCAAAGUCCCUCUUUAGUGAGUGGGAGAAGAACAGGUAAGGGUGAAAUGGUGGCGGGUCGCGAGGCCCGGCAGCGCCACGCAAGUGGCGUUGAGGUAAGAGCCCACCGCGUUCCCGGUGACGGUGGACGGCACGGUAAACCUCAUCCGGGGCAAGGCCAAAUAGGGGAGCGACGGCGUGGCUCGUGCUGCUCCCGGGUAGGCUGCUUGAGGUCGUCGGUAACGGCGGUCCCAGAGGAAUGAUUGCCCACGACAGAACCCGGCUUAUCGGCGGACUUCCCAU
RNAcentral lists this RNase P RNA (460 nucleotides) under Rhodocyclaceae bacterium. Its description in RNAcentral is "RNase P RNA component class A". It matches the Rfam family "Bacterial RNase P class A". Rfam says of the family: Ribonuclease P (RNase P) is a ubiquitous endoribonuclease, found in archaea, bacteria and eukarya as well as chloroplasts and mitochondria. Its best characterised activity is the generation of mature 5'-ends of tRNAs by cleaving the 5'-leader elements of precursor-tRNAs. Lineage: Bacteria; Pseudomonadati; Pseudomonadota; Betaproteobacteria; Rhodocyclales; Rhodocyclaceae. The record is from RNAcentral.